UCCGCGGGCCGGGCGACGUGGUUGGGGGGGGGGUUCCGGCUUGCUCGGGGGUCCCCCGGCCGUCCGCUCGGAAGGGCCGCCCUGCGCGCUCGGGGACGGACGGGGAGAGGGCCUCCUCGCGCGACCCUCUCUCCCUGGCUUUUCCGGCAGGACCGACAAUCUUGUGCUUGUGCCCACAAACGCUUUAGAAAAUCGACUCUCUUAAUCUUUCCAAAGAUGUUACCCCAGCUGCAAAGUCGUGGCACUCUGAAAACCUUUUAAGUCAGUAUACCAAAGGGCUUUAGUCGGGAUUAAAAGCAAAAUGCCAAAAUUUGGCUUUUAAAACGCCACGUCUAAAUGCAACCUAAGCACAAUCGUAGAUCGAUGCAAAACAGGCCCUCGCGAGAGCCCCCCUCCCCUGCGCGCAGCGCUGUUUGCCCUGAGCCCCAGCACCCCCAAAUCCUGGGAACUUCUUUUCUGGCGGGCAGCGGCGUGGAAGCUUGAGCUCACAGAAGGGAUUUUCAGUCGGCCAAGGAUUUAAGUCAGUGCGUGUCCUGGAAAAACCGACUCACUCCCAGCUCGAGGUGGCCCGGAGAGGUGGGCCUGGGACUCACGACUCCUGGGCGCCCUGGCCGGCGACCCGUCCUCUCUCUGUGGCCCUUUUGGAGGCCUCUGCCCCAGCCAGCGCCCAGCACAGCGUAGGUGCUCAGGAACGACGCCGCAGAGAGCCACUGCAGCGCACUUGGCUUUCUAGAAGCAAUAAAUGAAAGUCUCUAUAUUAAAAAAAAAAAAAAAAAAAAAAAAAAAAAUUAAUGAAGUCACGAUGGAGAGGCAGAGAACACAGCAGAAUCCACCGACUCACGACAACGUGUGCAGAAGCGAUUUGCCCCCGAAACUCUAAACAUGAAAUGCUUUAGUACCUCCCUGCUGCCCUGCGGUAGCUAGCGAAUAAAUAUUUCCACAUGGAAGAAAAUGGCCCUUUGAAAUGUAGCCUGUUCUAUUCAAGAGAGAAAUACAGCAAGGUACCACGAGGCUUCAGUGGCAAGAUGCAUUACUAUUUUUUUCCCAGUUUGAAAAUUGUGUGCCUUUCCAUUAGGACUCCCAGAUGGUAAACACGGAUUCCCUCGUGAAUUGAAUCCGUGCAACCACCCCCUUUGCUGGUUGGGGGAACAAUAGACUAACCUCUGGCUGGCAAAUUACGCCUUCGUUGAAUGCUUUGAUUAUCUGUUAAGUUAGAAACAAUCCUAUCAAAAGUCGGGACCCUGCCUCUUAUUUAAUCUGCGUGUGUAACUCUUCUUCUCCCAUCUCUGAGUUUGUUCUCCAAAGAUUAAAUAAAAAGCAACCAUUCUUGACCUGUGUCUCCUGUGCUCUGAAUUUGAAACAAGCCCAUGAUCGGGUCUAAAGUCAAAUCAGUGCUUGGGAGAAUGUCUGUCGCGUGGUAUCACAGUUCUUUAUUCAUACAGACGGCUCAGCUCAUUUUUUUAAAAUAAAAAUAUUCUGACUAAGGCUAGGAACGUAUGGCUGAAUUCUGCCGCUUGCUCAGAUUGGAGGGGUUUGCAGGGAGUUUUGAGGCACUGGAAACUUCUCUGCUCUAAGUUUUCCGAAGGACACUGUCAGCAAAAUGUCAAAUCACUGAAAGGAAAGCGAGUUAUGCAGGUACAAACGAGUCGUGUUUAAUUCAAGUGACAUUCAUUCACUCAUUUGUUCUAUAAAUAUUUAUUGAAAGCCUAUUUUGUGUAAGAGGCUGCCACCCCCCCGAAUGGUCAAGGCUGCUUGGGUGAAUCAGUCCCGCAUGGCUAACUUGCUCCUGGGCCCUGUGUGUUCAGUGUGGAUGCCUCCAGUUCAUACAAGAUGGUGGUGUUACUUGACAUGCGAGGGCCCAGAGCUCUGGGGUGCUUUGUUGUUGUUGUUUUUAAAUCAGACUCUCAACUGCUUGUUUAAUCUAAAUUUUAACACUAACCUAGAGUGGUCUAAAAUGUGUUCUCGGCAUUUAACAGAUGCGGAACAAUAGUAUCUUAGUUGCAGGGAAAGAAUAAAAAAUCUGGGUGUCCCCUUUCGAUUCAGAACUUGUGGGUCUGCGGUAAUCAACGUCCCUGGCUCAUUAAUGAAGAAGGUUCUCUCCCCUCCUCCCUCAGUGCCCUCAUUCCUAUAAUGUAAACAGCUACUAAGAGCUAGUAUUCCUCUUUGUUCAAACAGACAAUGGCCUUUAUAACUAAGAAGAAAAUUAGUAUCAGGUGAAAGCCUCAUUUUAGGGUGCUUAAAGCUUUUUCUUUUUUCCAGAAGAACAAAGUACAACAGUAAUCUCAAGAAGAAUUCACAACGUUUCGAAAGCAACAGGACAAAGUUACCGUCCUGAAAGUCCUCCGAACAAGACAGACGAGCUGAUCCUUCGCUGCCCGGCGUUGCCAGAAUCCGAACAGGAACAGCGUUAUCCUUAAGCACGUUACAUUUCCUUCUGGCUUGUGGUGCUGGGAAUACCGAAGGAAGAGACGCAGUCCCUUCCCUUAAGGAAACUCAAGAAGUCAAACACGAGACUCCAUCCGGCUCCUAGAUAAAUGCCUGAGGGAACUGAACGCACGUCCCGGCAAAGGCUGGUGGCCUUCUUCACGGCAGCCCCAGUCGGAAGCGCCCAAAUGUCCACCGCCUGUAGACUACAUGACUAAAAUGUGGUAUAUCCACACACUGGAAUAUUACCCGCCCAUUGAAGGAAUCAGGUACCCAUCUGUCCCCAAAGAACAGUAAGUACAGCGUCUGUCACCGAAGGACAAGGCUCCAAGGCCCCGGGCAGAAUUUCCUCUCUCCCCCGCCUUUCUCAGGCUCACCCGCGUCAUUGAAGAUAACUGUCCUCACCCCAGCCAGCAGGGGCUGCCCUCACCUCCUUGGGGUCUCUCCCCAGGAGCACCUGUCCGGGCUUGAGUAACUGGGGACUAUAGCCUGGCCCGUGGUGCAUCCGAAAGCCAUCCAGAGCCCCUCGUGUUUUCUUCUUUUAUUGUAGUUGUGCUUCCCACUCCUGAAACUCUGAUGGAUGCUCGCGGAUGCUCCCGGUUGGGGGAUUUAGUAUGGAGCCAAGUCGGUGGUUCCUCUGAUCUGGAGACAGAAGUUCCGGCUGGCUGCUUCCCAUUUCUUGUGAGACUGAAACAAACAGGAGAAUGAAAGAAAUCGUUGUUGGCACUUGACAAGAGACAGGAGGUCGUGAGGACAGAAGAGACGUGGAGGGGAUCUAGGGGAGGCAGCCUGAGAGGCGUCCCAUUACGCCAACCAGUCUGCGGGUAAAAUUUGCUCACGGGUUAACAUGCCCCUUGUGAUGGUUAAUUUUGUGUGUCAACUUGACUGGGCCAUGGAGCCCAGACAUGUAAGCAGCCAUUAUUCUGGAUGUUUCCGAGAGGGUGUUUUGGGAUGAGGUUAAUCCUUAAAUCCAUGGGCUUUGAGAUUACUUUCAUAGUGUGGGUAGGUGGGCCUCAUCCAAUCAGUUGAUGGACACCUGACUGCCUCCAAAGAAGGAAUUUUGCAGCAGAACAGCUUUUGGACUUGAGCCAAAACAUCAGCUGUCCCCUGGGACUCCACCCUGGUGGUCCACUCUAGAUUGUGGACUUGCCAGCCUCCACAAUUACGGGAGCCAAUUCCUUACAAUAAAUCUCUUUCUAUAUAUA
This is a long non-coding RNA of Felis catus (domestic cat), 3629 nucleotides long. RefSeq lists it as uncharacterized. The record is from RefSeq and is a predicted model, not a curated record. The transcript has 3 exons. NCBI's taxonomy places the organism in Eukaryota, Metazoa, Chordata, Mammalia, Carnivora, Felidae.